This 466-nucleotide ribosomal RNA is filed under the name uncultured bacterium. RNAcentral describes it as "partial 16S ribosomal RNA". It matches the Rfam family "Bacterial small subunit ribosomal RNA", at positions 28 to 507 of the family's 1533-position model. The record is from RNAcentral.
GACGAACGCUGGCGGCGCGCCUAACACAUGCAAGUCGAACGAGCGAGAGAGAGCUUGCUUUCUCAAGCGAGUGGCGAACGGGUGAGUAACGCGUGAGGAACCUGCCUCAAAGAGGGGGACAACAGUUGGAAACGACUGCUAAUACCGCAUAAGCCCACAGGUCGGCAUCGACCAGAGGGAAAAGGAGCAAUCCGCUUUGAGAUGGCCUCGCGUCCGAUUAGCUAGUUGGUGAGGUAACGGCCCACCAAGGCAACGAUCGGUAGCCGGACUGAGAGGUUGAACGGCCACAUUGGGACUGAGACACGGCCCAGACUCCUACGGGAGGCAGCAGUGGGGAAUAUUGCACAAUGGGGGAAACCCUGAUGCAGCGACGCCGCGUGGAGGAAGAAGGUCUCCGGAUUGUAAACUCCUGUUGUUGAGGAAGAUAAUGACGGUACUCAACAAGGAAGUGACGGCUAACUACGUG